This 253-nucleotide ribosomal RNA is filed under the name uncultured bacterium. RNAcentral's name for it is "partial 16S ribosomal RNA". It matches the Rfam family "Bacterial small subunit ribosomal RNA", at positions 524 to 776 of the family's 1533-position model. The record is from RNAcentral.
UACGGGGGGGGCAAGCGUUGUUCGGAAUUACUGGGCGUAAAGGGCGCGUAGGCGGUUGGAUAAGUCAGCUGUGAAAACCACGGGCUUAACUCGUGGCCUACAGUUGAGACUGUCUGGCUUGAGUGUGGGAGAGGAGAGUGGAAUUCCUGGUGUAGCGGUGAAAUGCGUAGAUAUCAGGAGGAACACCGGUGGCGAAGGCGGCUCUCUGGACCACAACUGACGCUGAGGCGCGAAAACUAGGGGAGCAAACAGG